AGUGAACGCUGGCGGUAGGCCUAACACAUGCAAGUCGAACGGCAGCACAGUAAGAGCUUGCUCUUACGGGUGGCGAGUGGCGGACGGGUGAGGAAUACAUCGGAAUCUACUUUUUCGUGGGGGAUAACGUAGGGAAACUUACGCUAAUACCGCAUACGACCUACGGGUGAAAGCAGGGGAUCUUCGGACCUUGCGCGAUUGAAUGAGCCGAUGUCGGAUUAGCUAGUUGGCGGGGUAAAGGCCCACCAAGGCGACGAUCCGUAGCUGGUCUGAGAGGAUGAUCAGCCAAACUGGAACUGAGACACGGUCCAGACUCCUACGGGAGGCAGCAGUGGGGAAUAUUGGACAAUGGGCGCAAGCCUGAUCCAGCCAUACCGCGUGGGUGAAGAAGGCCUUCGGGUUGUAAAGCCCUUUUGUUGGGAAAGAAAAGCAGCAGGUUAAUACCCCGCUGUUCUGACGGUACCCAAAGAAUAAACACCGGCUAACUGCGU
This 491-nucleotide ribosomal RNA is filed under the name uncultured bacterium. Its description in RNAcentral is "partial 16S ribosomal RNA". It matches the Rfam family "Bacterial small subunit ribosomal RNA", at positions 29 to 506 of the family's 1533-position model. The record is from RNAcentral.